CCUACGGGUGGCAGCAGUGAGGAAUAUUGGUCAAUGGGCGAGAGCCUGAACCAGCCAAGUCGCGUGAGGGAGUACUGCCCUAUGGGUUGUAAACCUCUUUUGUCGGGGAGCAAAAGCCGGACGUGUCCGGCUGUGAGAGUACCCGAAGAAAAAGCAUCGGCUAACUCCGUGCCAGCAGCCGCGGUAAUACGGAGGAUGCGAGCGUUAUCCGGAUUUAUUGGGUUUAAAGGGUGCGCAGGCGGAUUUUUAAGUCAGCGGUAAAAUCGUGGGGCUCAACCCCAUCCAGCCGUUGAAACUGGGGAUCUAGAGUGUGCGAGAGGGAUGCGGAAUGCGUGGUGUAGCGGUGAAAUGCAUAGAUAUCACGCAGAACCCCGAUUGCGAAGGCAGCAUACCGGUGCACAACUGACGCUCAGGCACGAAAGCGUGGGUAUCGAACAGGAUUAGAUACCCCUGUAGUC
This 458-nucleotide ribosomal RNA is filed under the name uncultured bacterium. Its description in RNAcentral is "partial 16S ribosomal RNA". It matches the Rfam family "Bacterial small subunit ribosomal RNA", at positions 338 to 795 of the family's 1533-position model. The record is from RNAcentral.